This is an RNA transcript of Leopardus geoffroyi (Geoffroy's cat), 5971 nucleotides long. It is a transcript of the gene named retinitis pigmentosa 9 protein, with no coding region annotated. The transcript is spliced from 9 exons. NCBI's taxonomy places the organism in Eukaryota, Metazoa, Chordata, Mammalia, Carnivora, Felidae. The record is from RefSeq and is a predicted model, not a curated record.
GGCCUGGGCGCGGCGCGGAGGAAGUGCCGUCUUCGCUGCCUCGGCCGCCUCAGGCGCCUCAGGCGCGCCGCGGGUCGCCUCAGCCGCGCGGGCCGCGAUGUCUUCCCGGCCCGGGCGUGACGACGCGCGAGCCGGAGGCGCGCGGCGGCCGCGGGAGUCGGCCGAGCAGGAGCUGCAGCGGCGCCGAGAGCAGAAGCGGCGGCGGCACGACGCGCAGCAGCUGCAGCAGCUCAAGCACCUGGAGUCCUUUUAUGAAAAACCUCCUCCGGGGCUUAUCAAGGAAGAUGAGACUAAGCCGGAAGACUGUAUACCAGAUGUACCAGGCAACGAACAUGCCAGGGAAUUUCUGGCUCACGCACCAACUAAAGGACUUUGGAUGCCACUUGGGAAAGAGGUCAAAGUUAUGCAGUGUUGGCGUUGUAAGCGGUAUGGUCACCGAACAGGCGACAAAGAAUGCCCUUUUUUUAUCAAAGGCAACCAAAAAUUAGAACAGUUCAGAGUAGCACAUGAAGAUCCCAUGUAUGACAUCAUACGAGAGAAUAAAAGACAUGAAAAGGAUGUAAGGAUACAGCAGUUAAAACAGUUACUGGAGGAUUCCACCUCUGAUGAAGAUGGGAGCAGCUCCAGCUCCUCAGAAUGUAAAGAGAAACACAAGAAAAAGAAGAAGAAAGAAAAGCAUAAGAAAAGGAAAAAAGAAAAGAAGAAGAAGAAAAAACGAAAGCAUAAGUCUUCCAAGUCGAAUGAGAGUUCAGACUCGGACUAAGACUUGACCUAUUCCAUGUUCUCCUCUCAAAAAUCAGACACUGUGGCCCCAGACCGGAGGGUGUGGAAUCGGGGAGGACUUGGAGACCCCAAGAGAGCAGGGCAUUCGGUGUCACGCGUGUGAAUUCUCCCCUGGCUUCCAGCAAAGACGUGACCCCCGGAGGGGCUGUGAUAGGAUGGAAAAAAUGGAUUCCUACACACUGAUGAGAAAUGACAGCAGAGGCAAAUGAGACUUUAAGAAGACUAAAGGAGAAAGAUCCCAUAGGAAGAGGAGAGAAGAGGAACCACUGUGACAUACACAAGGAGAACUCCAGCCAACACUAACACCAGACCUCAGGACAAGCUAGUUGACCAGAGCCUAACUGAUCAGGGUAAUUCCAAGUCUGGGUGGAAGGGUCCUCACCUCUUCUGGCUGGCCUGGGAUCGCGGACACAGGGCUGCGCGGCGUUGGGGGCCCGGGCCGCAUCUCGCACCAACAAGUCUCGGCUCCCCCAAGCAGCAGCAGCAGCACGGAGUGAAGACUGAGGCCAGGAGAGAACUUGCCGCAGCCCCUCGAACGUGACGGGCUGUGCCCAAGAGCUCCACUCCAGGGCCAUCACUUAGGCCUGGCCUGCAGCGCCCUCGUCCUCAGCCUCUCGGGCGUGCCCACCGCGCCCCUUCCCCGGUCCAGAGGAGCCCAUCCCGGGGACCCAGCCUCUCUUUACCCACGACUCACACCCCACUCCCUGUCCUGCAAGUCAGUCGCCUCCACUCCCUCGGCACCCAACCCCACCACUCACCGUGUUCGGUACGCCCACCUGCUCUAAGCCAACCUCCACAACCCGGAACGUCUCUGACACCUGGGCCUUGGCUCCCACUUUUAUGGGCUCCGCGCGCUGCGCGGGCCUCCCACAGAUGGCUCACGCAUGCGCCCUGGGCGAGGAUCGGAGCCUGACUGCUCCUCCCAAGGACACCUGGAGAAGGCUUGGAGCAGUUUUCGGCACCAUGCUCGCUCCGGCGCCUGGACGCCCUGGUGUUGGCGCUUCCAGAGGACGGGUCGGUUCCCUGUCCCACUUGCUCUCCCGGACUGUCCCUUCCAUUUGAGUGUGUUCGCUGAAGACCGCUUGUCUCCCCUGCUCUGAGCCCCUGGUCUCCUUCCUUCUUGGGCCUAACACCGCUGACACGAAGGAAGAGGAGCUGACGGAGAAGAAGGAGAGAGAAAGGAGGAGGCUAGCUUGGACCGUGUGGACCUGAAAGUAGGCGAUUCAUAAGGGAGGGGCGCUCCAGCCCCUACCACUGCGGAGAGUAAAAGCAGGGGUGCAGAGGCUCUGGCAGUUAGGGCGCCCUGGGUUGGGAGAGUGAGGAACAGAGGGCCUGGGAAGUCGUCUGUGGGCUGGUACAUGGGCAGUUGGAGAGAGAAGCUGGCACACACGGACUCCGCUUUUUUUGCAUGGGAAAGAAAGGAAAGGCCUAGGAUCGUAGUUAAUGAGAGUCGUGGGGUUGUAAGGAUUAUUGUGAGUUUUUUGUUUUGUUUUUUAAAGUGAGAGAUUUAGGUAUCUGUAAGGCCAGAAUGGAGAGACAAGGAGAUGUUACCUAUAGUGGAGAGAGAUAAGAUGUUAGGAGGAUGUUCUGAGGAAGCACAAGGUGAGGUUAGCUAAGCCUGAUUACAAUGCUUUGCCUUGGACAGAAGAAAGUUACUGAGAUAGGUGGGAAAUGAAGUCUUUGAAGACAGGAGUUUCAGUGCUUUAGCAUGUGAUGACCUUGAUAUUUUUCUUUUUCUAAAGUUUUUUAUUUUGAGAGAGAGAGAGAGUGUGUGUGUGUAUGAGGGAGCAAGAGAGGAGAGAGGGAAAGAGAGAAUCCCAAGCAGGCUCCUUGCUGUCAGCACAGAGCCUCACCUGGGGCUCAGUCUCACAAAACUGUGAGAUCAUUACCUGAGCUGAAACCAAGAGUCUGGCAUUUAACUGACUGAGCUACCCAUGUGCCCUACUCUUGAUAUUUUUCAAUGGAGGGCAGAAUAAAGACUUUAAGGGAACAUUGAAAAUUUGGGAUGACUGUCUGCAUUACCAGGUAAAGUUGUGUUUGAGCAGAAAUACUGGUGCCUGAAACUGGAUAAAGUUUUUCUUUCACAUAGAGAUGGAGGUAUGCCAUCCUUCCAGGGCAGGUCUGGAAGCUCCUUGCUGUCACAAAGAACCCAGUCUCCUUUUGUUUUGCUCUGCCAUCCUUACAAUGGCUCCCAUCUUCAAAAUGCCACAUGUUCCAAGAUGCUUGUUCCAGGCAGAAAGCAGGGGGUUGAGAAGGGAAAGGGUAAAAAAGAGCACAACAGGUACACAGCAGCUUCUCUUCUGUCAUCAGUAUUGCUUUUAAGGAGCUUUACUAGAAGACCUACCCAACUUCAGCUUAUACCACAAUGGCUUCCCAUGGCUGAAAUGAAGUUGUCUUUUAGCUAGGCGUAUUGCCACUUGCAAUAAAUUGAGAUGCUAUGACUAAGGAAGAGAAUGGGUAUUAAUUGAGCUGACAACUAACAAUGUCUGCCAUACUGCUGCAGGGAAGGGAAAAAAACAGUCUUCUACAAACAUGCAAAAGGAUUGCUGGUAGAGUUGAGGGCUGACCUGGAAUGAGGAUCAGUACUUUGUAUUUUCCCUCAUCUGUAGUGGUGUAUCACUUGCUCAGUCAUAUUCAGCUGCUUGGGAGAGACCUUGAAUGAUUGCAUGAAUCCAAACCAAGGACUGUGGUUUUACGGAGCUUGUGGGCAGAAGAGCAAGGGUUCAAGAAAGUUCAGUGUAAUGGUGAGAAAUUAAUACAUCAUGACACAUAAUGUAUACCCUGUACUUACAUGACCGUGAACAUGGGUGCCUCCUUAAAGUUUUACCCUAGGUGCCUCACCCCACCCUACUUAGUGGCCUAGUAUAUAGUCAGGAAGAGAAAGGAAGUAAUGUCAGAGGGGAGCUGAUCAAAUGGAAAAAAAAUUAAUGGAAAUCUUUUACAUGACAGGGAGUUGUAGUCAGAGAAUGGACAGUUUAAAUUUAGGAUUUCAGAGUUGGAACUGUUGCUAAUUAUAACAAGGUCCAUCGGGUGAUCAAGUAGUGCUUUGCUCAGAUGCUGUGUGGUGAGAGUCAUUGGCACUGAGGAAGGAAAAGAUCUUGGAAGCUGGAGUUUUGGAUGACUCACCCCCUCCUUCAUAUCGUGGUCAUGUAGAUAGAGGUUUCCUAUGUCCUCAAUGAAUAUGGCACAGUGACCCACAAGGUGAAAGACAGAAGUAUCAGAAGAUGUUUGUAUUUAUAAUUUUAUAAUAUUUUUCUUGAAGAUAACCCCCCAAAAUUUAUAAUAGUCAGUCCCCAGAAAACUGGGAUUUUCCACAAGCUAGUGGCCAUAUCUCAGUGCUGGGGUGCAUGAACAGUGAAAGAAAGAAGAACCUCCUUAUGAGGGCAGCUCAGAACAGGAGUGUCCUUGGGAGGAAACAAAGUUCAGCAACUAUUCAGAAAUAGGUUGAGGGAUAUAGUGGGUUGUGUUCAGCCAAACAGGGCUUCCAAGUUACAUAAUCGAGAGGGUUCGUAGGUAGAUCAGCAGGGAGCAGGAUUGGAAUGAGAGUGUUCCAGAAAUGCCAGCUAAUUGGAAGCUUUGGAUUUGAGGCUGUGCUGAAAGAUGUCACAGAUGAAACUACCCAGUUUUGUACUACUUGGUCUGUAGUGGUACUAUCUGGCUCAUAGAUUCCACUAGACCUCUAAUAUAAAAAUGUUUUUGUGCCAACUGAGGCAUUUUGUGUGGGGUGGGGUGUCUGAGGUUAGGUGGUGGUUGCUAUUUUUAUGUUAAGGUCCAGUUAGUGAACUCUGUGUUCUCUGCUCAGGAUUCCAAAUGGGUAUUAUUAUCAUUGUCUCUAUUUUAAGAUGACGACACCUGAGAUUCAGGGAGGUUAAGUAAUCUAACCAUAUAUAUGAAGUUUCAAUCCUAAAUUGGAAAUGAGAUUGGGCUAAGGUCUUUGGAUUCCCAGGCCCAGUGCCUUUUCUAUUCCUUGGGUGGUCCCUGUUACUCUCCUUUUGACAGUCUGACAGUCUCUGUCUCAUUAAAGCAGCCUGAUUUAUACUUUCCCCUCAGUUGACACACUGGAUUUUAUAUUGAAAAUUUAAACAGCAAGUGUAAUAAUAAUAAUAGUCUUGUUUUCCAUACCUUGAGCUUCCUCUUUAACAUAUUGGUGAGCUAUAAACACAUCAUGGAUGCUCAGCCUUACUAGUGAACCUUCAUUCACUCAUUUCCUCCACAAAUAUUUGAGUACGUACAAAGGGACCAGCACAACUGUAACCCUAAGGAAACAGCAGGGAAGAAAAAAUUAUAAUUCCUAGGGAGUCUACAUUCUUUGGGAUUUGCAGUGAGAUGCCAUUUAUAACUAUCAGAUGGCGGGGGGGGGGGGGGGGAUGUAACCAGUUUGACAACACGAGAGUUAAGGAGGAAGAAGUGAAGUGGUAGGAACAUGUAUAGACUGCUGCUGGUGAUACUUCAAAUCACUUUGGAGAGCAAGUUGACGAUAUCAAAAAGUUGAAAAAGGGUUGGGGCGUCUGGGUGGCUCAGUUGGUUAAGCGUCCACCUUCAGCUUGGGUCAUGAUCUCAUGGUUUGUGGGUUCAAGCCCUGCAUCGGGCUCUGUGCUGACAGCUUGGAGCUUGGAGCCUGGAGUCUGCUUCGGAUUCUGUGUCUCCCACUCUCUCUCUGCCCCUCCCCCACUUGUGCUCUGUCUGUCUCUCUCUCAAAAAUAAAUAAAAUGUAAAAAAAAAAAAAAAGCAACUUUUUUUUAAGUUGAAAAAGGGUCAUACUCCAUAAACUAGCAAUUGUACAUCUAGAAAUAUUCUAGAAAAAAUUUUUGCAUAUGAUCCCAAGGAGCCAUCUAUUAAAACUGUUUGUUGCAGGGGUGCCUGGGUGCUCAGUCAGUUAAGUGUUGGACUGAGGUCAUGAUCUCACAGUUUAUGAGUUCAAGCCCUGCAGUUGGGCUCUGUGCUGACAGUUCAGAGCCUGGACCUACUUCAGAUUCUGGGUCUCCCUGUCUCUCUGCCCCUCCUCCCACUCACGCUCUCUCUCUCUCUCUCUCUCUCUCAAAAUAAAUAAAUAUUAAAAAAAAAUCUUGUUGCAGUAGCAUUGCUUGUAACAUAAAAGAAUUGAAAACCACCCAAAUGUCCAUGAAGCAAGAGAAUACAUAAAUUAUGGUGUAGUACACAGGAGUUAAAUAAAUGAACUAGGAUCACA